CCCCUAGAUGUUCUGGGCCGCACGCGCGCUACACUGACUGGUGCAACAAGUGUCGCUCCUUGGCCGAUAGGCCUGGGCAAUCUUUGAACGCCAGUCGUGAUGGGGAUAGAUUCUUGCAAUUUUUGAUCUUCAACGAGGAAUUCCUAGUAAACGCGAGUCAUCAACUCGCAUUGAUUACGUCCCUGCCCUUUGUACACACCGCCCGUCGCACCUACCGAUUGAAUGGUCCGGUGAACCCUCCGGAUCGGCCCGCGCCAACGCAAGUUGAGCAAAGGCCGAGAAGUUGGGUAAACCUUACCAUUUAGAGGAAGGUGAAGUCGUAACA
Molecule: ribosomal RNA, 325 nt
Filed under: uncultured eukaryote
Lineage: Eukaryota
Description: partial 18S ribosomal RNA
Rfam family: Eukaryotic small subunit ribosomal RNA
Source: RNAcentral